This is an RNA transcript of Stegostoma tigrinum, 8449 nucleotides long. It is a transcript of the gene named growth factor receptor-bound protein 14-like, with no coding region annotated. The record is from RefSeq and is a predicted model, not a curated record. Lineage: Eukaryota; Metazoa; Chordata; Chondrichthyes; Orectolobiformes; Stegostomatidae. The transcript is spliced from 13 exons.
ACAAAUCGGAAUACGCUAAGAUAUUUUGUGCGUAAGGAGGCUAAUUUGUCUCGCCCCUUCUGAUCUCAUUUACAAACGAAAACUACAUGAAGGCUGCUUCAGCAAGUCCGAGGAAGUGCCUUUUGUCUCUCCCCCACCAUCCUUCGACGUGAGGCAGAGUUGAAUAACCUAAAGUUACAAUCGAGUCUUAUUUCCAUUUUGGUUUCAUCCACUUAAAAGCUAGGUUAUAUGAGUAACCAUUCAUUCAAAUUGAAGUGCGAAUCAGAAGUCGUGCAGGCAUAGUUCACUCUCUUGGCUUUAAGUUUGAGUACGAAGGGAGGUUCAGCCCAUGCUGAUUCUUGGAAAGCUAGCCGGUGAUUGGGUGAAAAAUGUAAUAACAUGCGGCGGUGGAGUGAGGAGACUGGUGGUGACAGACAGCACCGUAUCAUCACCUCGUUUUAGACGAGUGCAAGUGUAGAUAAGUCCAGUUGAUUUGAUGUGUCCUAAUGUGCAAUUUUAGGUUACUUGUGCAAUCUUUUUUAUAAUGCAAUGCAUACAUACUUGCAAUGAUUGUGGAGCUGACCAAGAUAUUCAAAUUCGUUUGUCGUCAUCUCUGCUGGUCAUUAAAGUAUUUAAUGAAGAUGGCACUAGCCAGACAUUGGAGGUACCAAAUGACAUCAUAGCUCGUGAUGUCUCUCAGUUGUUUCUCAUGAGAAGUCACUGUGUCAGUGACAAUACCUGGACACUCAUCGAGCAUCUUCCUCAUCUUGACAUGGAAAGAAUUGUAGAAGAUCAUGAAUCAGUGACUCAGUUCCAAUCAACCUGGGGGAUGGACAGUGACAGCAGACUAUAUUUCAGAAAAAAUUAUGCAAAAUAUGAAUUCUUUAAAAGCCCUUCAUAUUUUCCAGAGCACAUGGUGUCUAGUUGCAGUGAGACAAAUGGAAGCUUAAGUCAUUCUCAGUUAAUACAGAAUUUCUUGAAUUCAAGCACGUAUCCUGAGGUUCACGGUUACCUUCAUGCUAGAGAACAAGGAAAAAAGACGUGGAAGAAAUGUUACUUUGUCUUGAGAAGAUCUGGGUUAUACUUUUCGACAAAGGGAACAUCUAAGGAGCCAAGACAUUUACAAUUUGUUGCUGAGUUCAGUGAAAGCAACGUUUACACUCUAUUAUCAGCAAGGAAGAUGUAUGGAGCACCGACCAAUUUUGGAUUCUGCAUCAAGCUUCACAAAUCCAGACGUACCAGAGACCUGAAGUUACUUUGUGCAGAAGAUGAACAGAGUAGGAUGUGUUGGGUGACAGGGGUUCGACUUUUUAAGUAUGGAAUACAACUGUACCAAAACUAUAAAACACCACAGAAAAGGAGAGAUAGCCUUACUUCACUGAACUCAUCACCAAUGAGAAGCGUCUCAGAAAAUUCUCUGGUAGCUAUGGACUUCUCUGGACACAAAGGAAGAGUAAUUGAAAAUCCUAUGGAGGCACUUACAGUUGCUACUGAGGAGGGGUUGGCAUGGCGGAGGAGAAGCUGUCAUCGUUUGAACGCAUAUGGAAGUCCAACCACAUCGCAGAGCACCACAUCGUGCCAAGCCAUUCAUAGGAUGCAGCUAUGGUUUCAUCACCGACUCUCCAGAGAUGAAGCUCAAAAACUUUUAGAACAACAAGGUCUUGUGGAUGGAUACUGGAUUCUUUGUUGUAGCUCCUUUAAUGCCUUAAUAUGAGAUUUGGAAUGGCAACUGAAAAUACGCCGAGCCCUGCAUCAAACUUAGUUUUUCAUAACCCUUGUCCCAUUAGGGGAAAAUGACUGUAAAAUGGCUUUAUUUGGUAUAAAAGGAAAUUGACUUGCAUAAUAAUAUGGCCGUGAAUAAAUUUUACAAUAAGAUAUCCUGAAAUUUCAACUGAACAUUGCCUCACAGUUUAUUAUAAACGUAUAUUUAGAUUUGUUCUUUAAUCUCCACUAUUUGAUAGUUGAAGCUUGGCUCUGGCUGAGUCAAAGGGCUUUAAAGUGGAUUUGUGAUGUCCUUAAUUGCUUAAGGGCAAGUAGACAGGAGGAAUUUGUAAAUAAAGAGCAGGUUUUUAAAUUUAAUCCACUUGGAUUGGAACGACAAUAUUGGGAGAACAGGAUUAAUGUUUGGGAUUUCAUGUAGACUUUUACACAGCCCACAGAUUGUGGAAUGAAAGAUCAUGAGGCUGCUGUUUAUGGUAUAUAACAAAUUGAAACUAGAAAUGACAAGUCUGGAUUAGUGUUUAACGUUGAUAGGGAUAGUGGGGCAAAGCAUUUUAGAUAAUUAUCAAGGCAAGUAGUCUUGUUAAUGUGUAGGAUGUUGGGUUAUAAAGUAUAGCUCUGAAUUGAAUAGAGUCUCAAGGCUUUGAGCGUUUUGAUUCAGCUUAAGCAGGUGAUCAGGGAGAAAAUGGAGUUGAUGAUGAGAGCAGAGCCAUUGGUAGUUUACAAACAUACAAACAUACAGAUUAGGAGUAAGAGUUGUUCAUGUGUUCCAAAAUUCAAUAAGAUCUUGACUGAUUGGAUUACUUUCUUGCCUGCCCCCAAUAACUUCUCACCAUCUUCUUGAGAAUCUUGUCUAUGUCUAUCUUUUGAGGAAGAAAGUUUCAAAGACCCAAGACCCCACUGAGAAAUAAGUUUCUCCUCAUUUCUGUUAUAAAUGAGUGACAUUUCUUUCGAAACAGUGACAGAGUACUAGAUUCUCCCAUAGGAGCAAACAUCUUUUACACAACCACCAUGUUAAGACCACUUAGGACUUUGAAUGUUUCAAUCAAUUCACUUCUAAUUGUCCUAAACUCUAGUAGAUACAAGCCUAGCUUGUUUCAUCUUUCCUCAUAAAACAACAUGCCUAUUCCAUAUAUUAGUCAAGUAAACCUUCUGUAAACUGCUUUCAACAUAUUUAUAUUCUUCCUUAAAUGAGGAGAUCAAUGCUAUACAAAGUAUUUAGCAUGUGGGCUCACCAGUGUCUUGUAUAACGGAAGCAUGACCACCCUACUUUCGUUGCAAUUCCUUUUGCAAUAAAUGAUGUUGUUUUAUUAGUCUUCCUAAUUACAUGGUGUACCUGCAAAAUAACACAUUGCAAUUCAUGCACUCAGACACCCAGAUCCCCCUGCAUCUCAGAUCCUACAAUCUUUUGCCAUUUAGAUAAUGGGCUUUUUAAAAAGUUAUUCCUGCAACAGAAGAUAUUAGUCUCUGAUGAGUACUGUUUAAUGAUUCUAAAAUGAAUUACGGAGUAAUGAUGCUUUACAGUCAGUAGCAAUUCAAGAAUCUAUUGGCCACCUACAUAAAUAAAUUUCUUCAAAGUCCAUUAUAUAUGAAGAGAUUUGUUACAUUUGAGAACUGUAACCAGGCAUUACAGAAUGUGCACUCAGACACCCAGACCCCUCUGCAUUUCAGAGCCUACAAUCGGUUGUUAUUUAGAUAAUGGGCUUUUUAAAAAAUGCUUUCUUCCAAGAUGAACUGUUUCACAUUUUUCCACAUUAUACUUCAAUUGUCAACUCAUUUGACUUCUAAUGUCCCUUUAUAAACUUCAUAUGUGCUCUUCACAAUUACAUUCCUACUAUUGUUGUAUCAUCAGAAAAUUUGGUAACCGUACCUUCAGCCCCUUCAUCCAAGUCAUCUGUAUAAACUGGAAAACAUUAACAUUCCCAGCACUAAACCUAUGCAUGUCACUCAUUAAAUCUUGCCAAUUUAAAAAAGACCCAUGCCCGAAAUGUCAGCUUUCCUGCUCCUCUGAAGCUCCUUGGCCUGCUGUGUUUAUCCAGCUCUACACCUUGUUAUCCCAUUUAUGUCCAUUCUGUUUUCUGUUAUCUAGCCAACCUUACAUCCAUGACAAUUGGUUGUAUCUUAGACCAUGAGUUUUUUAUGUUCUGCAGUAAUCUUUGAUGUGGUGUCUUGUCAAAUGCUUUUGAGAAAUCCAUGUACAGUAUAUCUCUGGUUCCCCUUAUCCACAGGAGAUGGUAUUUCUUCAGAAAACACCAACAACCUUGAGUUUUUGCAAGAGCUCCUGCUAAAAAGUCUUUAAUAAUACCUUCUGCAAGUUUCCCUAAACAGAUGUGAGGCUAACUGACUUGUAGUUUCCUGCUUCUGUUCCUUUUUCAAUAAAGAAGUUACAUUUGCUAUUUUUCAAUCCAGUGGAACUUUUUCUGUAUCUUGGGAAUUUGCAAAAAUAAAAAUCACCUCAUAAUUAUUUCACUACCCAAUUAUUUUAGGACACUAUGAUGAAAUCCAUUUGGAUCCAGCUCCAGCAGUUUGUUCAGUACUACUUCUCCGGUUAUUGUAAUUUUCUGGAGUACCUAUUUUUGAUUGACUUCCUGAUAUGUACUAAUUCUGGAAUGUCAUUUGUUUCAUUUAUAGUGAAAACCAAUACAAAAUUGCUGUCCAAUUUAUGUGUUGUCUCGUUAGUUUCCACUACUUAUUCCCAAGACUUGCUUUUUAUUGGAUUUUUUCGUUUCUAACUACUUAGAGACCUAAAUCUGUUUUUGCAUUUCUCACUAGACUUAUAAAAUUCUGUAAUUUUUCUUUCCUUUUUAAGCUCUUUGUCUUUUUGUUUAGCUUAUUCCCAAUCUUCUGGCCUGCCACCCAUCUCUGGAAAUAUAUGCUUUUUCUUUUAAGAAUGUUACAAUCUUUAACUUUUUUUAAUCUAACCAUGAUUACUGAGUCCACUCUUGGAACUUUUCUUUCUCAUUGGAAUGUACUAAUAUUUGUAUUCUUAAAUAUCUUUUUUAAUGCCUACAGCUGCAUUUCUGUUGAACUGUUUUAAAACCUAGUUUACCAGUAGACUUUAGAUUAUUCUGAUUUCAAGUUAAGUUUAAAAAAAAACUUGUCUCAAACACACUCUUCUUUCCAUCAAACUUGAAUGUGAAAUUUAGUCAUUCUGCUUCCUUAAUUUUGAGAUCAUUAAUUAGUCCUAUCUGAUUUGUACAGUACCAGCUCAGGCCCGCUCUUUGUUUGGCUCUAGAUGUGCUAUUCUGAGAAUCUGUCCUGAAAAUAUUCUAUAAACUCUCAUCUACACCACCUUUUACUCACCUGAUUUUUCCAGUAAAUAUGUAGAAUAAAAUCCUUCAUAGUUAUCAGCAUACCAUUCUGACAAGCUCCCUUUGUUUCUUCCUUUAUACUUGUUCUUGACCUUUGUUAAUUCUAAGGGGCCUGUUCAUCACUCUUGCCUUUAAACAUUUGCCUUUUAACAUGUGCUCCUGAGAUGCUGCUUGGCCUGCUGUGUUCAUCCAGACUCACAUUUUGUUGUCUUGGAUUCUCCAGCAUCUGCAGUUCCCAUUAUCUCUGCCUUUUAACAUUUCUUGCCUUUUACCAUUUCUCAUUUCCUAUCCAAACUACUUUUACAUUCUUGCUUCCUGAACGCAAGUCACUCAUCUCUCCUGUGUUACUACAAUCAUCAUUAUGACCUCCUCCAUUUCCCAGCUUUCUUUCCUUCUUAAAUGUUAUGUACCUUACAAUAUUCAGGUCCCAAUCCAUGUAUUCUUGCAACAUGUCUCUGUAAUGAUUAUCAUAUCAGCUUAUUUAUUUCGAUUUGUGCUAUAAGUUCAUAUGUUUAUUGCAAAUGAGAAAGCAUUCUGAUUCUGUUUCAGUGUUUUUCCUUUUAUUAUUUUUGCAAUCAUAAGACCAUUAAAUGUAGGGACAGAAUUAGACCAUUUAGCCCAUUGAAUCUGCUCUACUAUUCAAUGAGAUCGUUGGCUCAACUGAUAAUCCUCAACUUUACAUUCCAGCCAUUUCCCAUAAUUUCUGUUCCAGUAAUGACUAAAAAUCCGUUUCAGCCUUGAAUAUGCUUAAUUAUCCAGCCCGAAUAACCAUCUCUGGGAAAAAAUUAUGCAGAUUCACUGAGAGAAAAGAAUAUCCUCCUCUUCAUUGCCUUAAUUAAGUGAAUCCUUUUGUCCACAAGGGGAGACAACUUCUCUGCAUCUGCUCUGUCCAGCACAUGAAAAACUUCCGUGGUUCAAAUAGGUCUCUACUCAUUCUCCUAAAUUCCAAUAACUACAAGCUCAAAUGAUCCAAUCUCUCCUCAUAAUAAGUCACUCCACAUCUGGAAUCAGCCGAGAGAAAUUUAUUUAGACUGCCUACAUUGCCAGCAUAUCUUUCCUUAGAUAAGGGAUCAAAACUGUUUACAGGAUUCCAGGUCUCGUCUGAGUAGUGCCUUAUAGUUUUAGCAAGACGUUCCCUUUUAGUACUGCAUUCCCUUUGAAAUAACACCAUCAGUCUAUUUGCCUUCAGUUAUCAACUGAACUUGUUUGCCACCGUUUUGUGAUUCAUGCGCAAAGAACUCAAUUCUCUCUGUAUUUUAGCUUUCUGCAGUAUUUGCCAUUUAAUAUUCAGCUCUUCUAUUCUUAUGUCAAAGUGUAUAAUGUCACAUUUUACCACUUCAUUUUCUAUCUGCCAAUUUUUUUGCCUACGCACCUAGCCUGUAUAUAUCCCUCAAUGAACCUCGUUGUUAAUUAUGACUACUUGCCUUCCUACCUGCUUUGGUGUUAUCCUGUGGCCUUACUUGUUGAUUUGCUCCUAGAAUUGUACAUUCCAUCUCCUCUUGUCAUUCGUCUGCCCAUCAUUUCCAUCUUAAUAUCCUUCACUUUGGGAUUGAUUCUAUUCUUUAAUUUACCAAAUUUGAUCCCUUCACUCCACUAUUCAGUUUAUAACCUUUUUUACUUGUCUAUCUAUGCAACUCAUCAUCAGUUAAAGUUUUCGGAUAAACAACAUUGUGUAAAUAACAAAGAUUUAUUUUCCUUCUUUUUAUCCCACGUAGGAUGUUUUUACUACGGGACAGUCAAAGUAAUCUGAAAAGUUUUGUUUUGUCACUGUGCCAUUGUCAGAAGAUAAGACAUUUUCAGAUUAUACCGUAAGCAAAGUUAGAAGAUUCCAUCAUUCCUCAGGGUUCACCUUAGACUGGAAUAAUAUAUACACAAGGAUGUCUAGCAUCAGUCCUCAGUUCUCCUGGAAGAACCACAUCAGUGGUGACACCAGGAUGUUCAAAAACUAGACUACAAUGAUACCUAUGUGGAUUCCUGCCACUGGACUAUGAGAGGACAGACUCCCACAUUCAAAACCAUUUUGUAGGCCUUCAGCAGCAAACGCGCUCUUCUGAUAUUGGUUAUCAAGUUGCAUCCAGGAGAAACACUAGAACAGUGUCUUACAAACUGUAGGUCAUGGCCCUCAAUGGGGUCAAAAGUUUGGAAUUGUGGUCUGCGAGGCAGCAACAUUUGUAUGAAUCUCUGACCAAAUGCUAAGAACUGUACCGUAGUUUCACAGUUUUUGAAACAGAUGUGAGUGCCAUAAAUGCCCAAUCUUACAGAUGUGAAUCUUUUCCUAAAAAUUCCAACUGGAAGGCAGAUCACUUUUACUUAAAACCCCUGUGUAUUAAACUACCUUUGCUCCCGCUGACUGUCAUAGGGCCUCCUCCCCUCAUUCUCCCACAGGAAUGGAGUAUUGGCUACUAACAUGCGUUAAAAUGAAGUCCUUAGGAGAAAUGCUUUGGGAAGCACUGUGGUCGAAUAAAGGCAGAACUUGGGACCAAGAUAUGUCAUGUAAGGCAAUGAGCGUGACUGCUAUAGUACUCAGCUCAGGAAGUAACUGAUGAAACUUUGUUUACAUGCAGAUGUGGGCAAUUGUAACCUGACAGAUAUAUUGCAGAAGGGUCCAAAAGUACAAGCAGAGGGCAGGCAAUUUUAAGACAGAAUACCCAGAAAAGUGGCAUCAAUUUCUUGACACAAAAAUUUGUUCCCCCAGUUAUGAAUCAGACAUAUGCCACAAGCUAGAAAGUGGGGAAAAAGAAACAAACAGCAAGUUCAAGGAAACCAACUGUGGCUACCAACGAUUAAUUACCCCAAUGAAUAGGGACCGUAAAGAAUAGGUGUUCUUUUGGAAUUGAUAAAAUAUGCUGUAUUCUUAGCACAAGUAACAAAAUGAAAAAUAUGAUGUUUGCUGCUGUUCAUAGCCAAAUAUUUUAUGGCAUAAUUAUUAGUCCAAUUUUAUUCACUAUUGAGCAGCUUUGUUGAGAUUCGUCUUUUAAUUACAAGCAGUUGGAUUGAUCUUUCUGCUAAUAACAGUUUGAGAUUUGAAAUUAUAACAUAUGGACCAUUUGAAUUUCUAUCCGCUUGAUAGUGGCGAUAGCUUAAGGGUAAUCACUCCACGAGAGUAAGUUGAGGGGAGGAGGCAGGAUCUCCAUGAGGUACUAUAGUUGACUUGAAGAUUGAACCCAUGCUAUUGGCUUUAAUUCAGACCACAUUGUAGUCACUUAGCCAACUGACCUAACCUACACCCUGAGAAAUGUGAAUAAUCGACUAAUUAUGUCAUAUGGGAAAUGUUGCAGCUUGUUCAGAAAAACAUUUAAACUUCCACCACAGAAAAAUGUUUUGUCAGAGUGUUUACAGACUUGCAAUUAUUGAAAGAUUACAGAUUAGCAGGGCUGAGUUAUCCAGAAACUGCUGCAUUCUUACAACUGCAUUGGAACUUUCUCAUCAACUGUUAUGUA